This 275-nucleotide long non-coding RNA is filed under the name Brassica rapa (field mustard). RNAcentral describes it as "long non-coding RNA (BRAP_LNC008191)". The record is from RNAcentral. Lineage: Eukaryota; Viridiplantae; Streptophyta; Magnoliopsida; Brassicales; Brassicaceae.
CAUGUCCUACUGAACCUGAUUAGUGUUGCUCUUACCACCGGUGCAUCCUUUGAUCAAUCAGAUCAGACACCUGGAUCCAUCAUCCAAGGAUCAGGUCGUCCAUCCUUACCCAUGAUCAGAUCACACACGGCCUGCCUUGAAUAAUAACACCUAAGCUUAGUACUUUGGUCCACGCCACCAAGUACUUAGCUGUACUCUUCUUCCUGGCUCUCAGCCAAUGCAUUGCCCAUACCUUACCAACACCAAGGUUGAUAACCAGCAAUUCCUUAUGAUCA